This is a non-coding RNA of Podarcis lilfordi (Lilford's wall lizard), 75 nucleotides long. The record is from the annotation of a GenBank genome assembly. NCBI's taxonomy places the organism in Eukaryota, Metazoa, Chordata, Lepidosauria, Squamata, Lacertidae.
UCUUCCAGAAAGUUCAGUUGGUUAGAGCUUGGUGAUGAACGCCAAGGUUGCAGGUUUGAUCCCCGCAUGGGAGAG